GAAGAGCACUCCUACGGGAGGCAGCAGUGGGGAAUAUUGCACAAUGGGCGCAAGCCUGAUGCAGCCAUGCCGCGUGUAUGAAGAAGGCCUUCGGGUUGUAAAGUACUUUCAGCAGUGAGGAAGGUGGGUAUGUUAAUAGCAUACUCAUUUGACGUUAGCUGCAGAAGAAGCACCGGCUAACUCCGUGCCAGCAGCCGCGGUAAUACGGAGGGUGCGAGCGUUAAUCGGAAUUACUGGGCGUAAAGCGCAUGCAGGUGGUUUGUUAAGUCAGAUGUGAAAGCCCGGGGCUCAACCUCGGAAUUGCAUUUGAAACUGGCAAACUAGAGUACUGUAGAGGGGGUAGAAUUUCAGGUGUAGCGGUGAAAUGCGUAGAGAUCUGAGGGAAUACCGGUGGCGAAGGCGGCCCCCUGGACAGAUACUGACACUCAGAUGCGAAAGCGUGGGGAGCAAACAGGAUUAGAUACCCUGGUAG
Molecule: ribosomal RNA, 472 nt
Filed under: uncultured bacterium
Lineage: Bacteria
Description: bacterial SSU rRNA
Rfam family: Bacterial small subunit ribosomal RNA
Source: RNAcentral